This 482-nucleotide ribosomal RNA is filed under the name uncultured bacterium. RNAcentral's name for it is "bacterial SSU rRNA". It matches the Rfam family "Bacterial small subunit ribosomal RNA", at positions 41 to 523 of the family's 1533-position model. The record is from RNAcentral.
GGCGUGCCUAACACAUGCAAGUCGAACGGACGAGAGGGAGCUUGCUCCCUCAAGUUAGUGGGCGGACGGGUUGAGUAAACGCGUGAGUAACCUGUCCUUUCAGAGGGGAAUAACAUUCUAGAAAAGGAUGCUAAUACCGCAUAACAUCGUAGUAUCGCAGUGGUACAGCGAUCAAAGGAGCAAUCCGCUGAAAGAUGGACUCGCGUCCGAUUAGCUAGUUGGCGGGAUAAAGGCCCACCAAGGCGACGAUCGGUAGCCGGACUGAGAGGUUUGAUCGGCCCACAGUUGGGACUGAGACGACGGCCCAGACUCCGUACGGGGAGGCAGCAGGUGGGGGAUAUUGCACAAUGGGGGAAACCCUGAUGCAGCAACGCCGCGUGAAGGAAGAAGGUCUUCGGAUUGUAAACUUCUGUCCUCAGGGAAGAUAAUGACGGUACCUGAGGAGGAAGCUCCGGCUAACUACGUGCCAGCAGCCGCGGUAA